This 492-nucleotide ribosomal RNA is filed under the name uncultured bacterium. RNAcentral's name for it is "partial 16S ribosomal RNA". It matches the Rfam family "Bacterial small subunit ribosomal RNA", at positions 28 to 507 of the family's 1533-position model. The record is from RNAcentral.
GAUGAACGCUAGCUACAGGCUUAACACAUGCAAGUCGAGGGGCAGCGGUAUCGAAAGCUUGCUUUCGGUAGCCGGCGACCGGCGCACGGGUGAGUAACGCGUAUCGAACCUGCCUCAUACUCGGGAAUAGCCUUGCGAAAGUAAGAUUAAUGCCCGGUGUUUUCAGAGUCCCGCAUGAGGCUUUGAACAAAGAUUUAUCGGUAUGAGAUGGCGAUGCGUCCCAUUAGCUUGUUGGCGGGGUAACGGCCCACCAAGGCAUCGAUGGGUAGGGGUUCUGAGAGGAAGGUCCCCCACAUUGGAACUGAGACACGGUCCAAACUCCUACGGGAGGCAGCAGUGAGGAAUAUUGGUCAAUGGGCGGAAGCCUGAACCAGCCAAGUAGCGUGCAGGAAGACGGCCCUCCGGGUUGUAAACUGCUUUUAGUUGGGAAUAAAACGGGGCUCGUGAGCCCCAUUGCAGGUACCAUCAGAAAAAGGACCGGCUAAUUCCGUG